GUGGAUUGAGGGCAUAAUGGGUAGCUGAUUAUGGGCAUUGUGGAAUGUCUUUGAGAAGUUGCUCAUCCCUCAAUGUUCUCACAAAUCCUCAAAAGACCUAAAAUACUCUUUACCAGAUCCUACAAUCUAGUUCAUUAAUUUACAGGAUUCACGCAUCCAAGAUGGAAGGUGACGAUGAUGCUACUCUAUAUCGACAUGGUAGAAAAACAACAUGGGUUUGUACGAAGAGAGUGUUGUGCCAAAGCUGGUGCUAAAAGACAAUGGAUUAGAGGUGAAAGUUAUCGCUCUUAAGGACAUGUUGACUCUGACGAUGUGCAAAACUAGGUGUCUGCACCACUAUCGUCUUUGCCACUAUCACCACCUUCACCAUUUUAGGGAUCACCACCACCACCACCAUCAUCACAUGUUUAGAGAUUUUCGAGACCCUUUAAUAUGUCUUUGAUACGACAUUUAGAGGACCACGUGGCGGCCGACACAUGGGUUGAAGAUGAGCACAUUCCUCUUAAAUGCAUCAACAAUUAUUGAAAGAUAUCUCAGCUAGAGAUUCCAUCUUUUACUAUUGAUUGGUUUAGAAAUCCAAUCAAAGCCUCUAGUUUUGCUGAUCUUGGGCGCACAUGCUACAAAUUAAUAAACAUCAGCUUGUUGUAAGCAUUUGUUGAAACGUGGCACCGAGAAACUAGCACCUUCCUUCUUCUUGUUGGUGAGAUGACAAUGAUUCUAGAUGAUGUGUCCUAUUUUCUGCAUUUAUCCAUCACUAGACACAUCUUGGCACAUACAUCGAUAAAAGAUGAAGGGGUUGAGUGGUUGCAUAAUGAUCUUGGGUUCAACUCAAAUGAUGCACUAAUAGAGAUUCAAAGAGCUAGAGGAGCUCAUGUCAGAUUCUCAACCCUUGAAGCACAGUUCUUUAGUCAUUUGAAUAGACCAAUUCAGUUUGAUGUUGAUGACAAAGUGAAGGAAUAUCAUAUGUUUUACUCCAUAAGAUAUUAUCUUCUCUACUUGGUGGACACAAUCAUAUUCAACGACAAAAGUGCAACGUACGUCGGUGUUAUCUACGUGUAGUACUUAAGAGACCUAGUGAUCCGUUGUCGCACACGGAUCAAAUACAAUUAAUAAAAUGUAAAUAGAGGUAAUAACUCGAAUUA
Long non-coding RNA from Cicer arietinum (chickpea), 1142 nucleotides. RefSeq lists it as uncharacterized. The record is from RefSeq and is a predicted model, not a curated record. Lineage: Eukaryota; Viridiplantae; Streptophyta; Magnoliopsida; Fabales; Fabaceae.